AAAAGGAUGUAAAAAUCUUGGCCUUGAUGUUGAAAGGAUACCGAGAAAUUCCUCGGAGAAUCAUUACUGUGGAUCUUGCGGUCAUGGCUGUAAAAGCGGAGACAAAAAGGGGACUGAUAGUACCUGGCUUGUUGAUGCCGUAAACCAUGGUGCAGUCAUUUUAACGGGAUGCAAAGCCGAGAGAUUCAUAUUGGAGAAGAGCGAUAAUGGAAGCACAAGGACAAUGAAAUGCUCGGGAGUGAUAGCAAAAGCUUUGAAUAACGACAUCAGAAUGAAGUUUCAGAUCGAAACAAAAGCAACAAUCUCAGCAUGUGGGGCUCUAUUGACUCCCCCUUUGAUGAUCUCUAGUGGAUUGAAGAAUCAGCACAUUGGCAAGAAUCUUCACCUUCAUCCUGUUCUGAUGGCCUGGGGAUACUUUCCAGACUCAAACUUAGAGUUCAAGGGAAAAAACUAUGAGGGUGGAAUAAUCACAUCGGCCCACAAGGUGGUUUCAGGAGAUUCCGAAGUGAGAGCCCUCAUCGAAACUCCUGAAUUUUCACCUGCAAAAUUUUCUGUAUUUUGUCCUUGGUUGUCCGGAAUUGACUUUAAGCAAACCAUGUUGAAGUAUUCAAGAACCGCACACUUGAUAACAAUAAUCAGGGAUCGCGGAUCUGGAGAAGUUAAAGUAGAGGGAAGGAUAAGCCAUAAAUUAGAUCAAUUGGACAAAGAAAAUUUGAAAGCCGGAUUGAGGCAGGCAUUGAGGAUUUUAAUAGCAGCAGGAGCCGUUGAAGUUGGCACUCAUCGGAGUGAUGGGCAGCGACUCAAAUGUGAAGGAAUUACCAAAAAGGAAGUGGAGCAGUUUCUGGACACAGUUUAUGCAGCAGAAGGGCCAAAGUCACCAGUGGAGAACUGGAUGGUCUACGGUACUGCCCAUCAAAUGGGAAGCUGUAGGAUGGGGGUUAAUGAAAAAGAGGGCGCGGUUGACGAGAACGGGCAGAGUUGGGAAGCAGAAGGCCUAUAUGUUUGCGAUGCUAGUGUUCUUCCAAGCGCUGUUGGUGUCAAUCCUAUGAUCACAAUCCAGUCUACUGCUUACUGUCUCUCAAAGAGAAUAGCGGAAUCCUUGAGAGAACAGUCCUCAUAAGGUUUACUGAUUCUCUAUAUUGCUUUUCACUCAUGCUGGUGAGUGAAGGACUUCGGUUGUUUCAGUCUUCAUAUGUCCAAAUGGCAUCAGCAGUUAUAUUUGGAAAUUGUAAUGACAUAGAUUGAGUAAAAUUCGGGUAUUCUUCAGGUGAAAAAAACAAUAUCUAUUACUGUUAUGAGAUUUGAUACAUAGAUGUUUGUUGUCUUAGAAAUAAUGCAUUUUGGGAUUCUUUAAAUUUACGUAUGAAUCUCAUGAAUGAGACAAAUAGAGUUUAAGAAAGUUACCAUGCAAAAGAGUUUAUCGUCUACAAACAAAAUUCGGCGGAGUGUGCAAUUUGAUUCUGGGAAACUUGCCAUAUGUCAAGCUUAACAGAAGCCGAUAGUGAAAAUACCAGCCAGCUCAUGAAAAAUUUGGCUUACUCUCUCUAAUCUCUACACUCAGAGAUACAAUGACCGGACGUGGUACUGUUUACUCAGCUUGAGUGUCUGCAUUGCUGAUGGAAUCUGUAACAGACUAAAAUAAACCUCGGGCAGACACGCCACGUCAUCACAUCCAUUACUGAUUUAACAGAUUUCAUUCAAUACUGGGUUUUACUUCUUUAUUUGAUUUUCAGUCCUCAGAAUUUUUUUUUCAUUUUUAUUUAACUUUCUCUGUGGUGGGAAAAGUCGUUAUGGUAUCAAAUCCCAACUGUAUUGAACAGCCGCUAUCAACCAAGUUAUAAUGUAUUGUUAUUUUAAUCUCAUUUUCGCAUUAUUUCCAUAUGCAUACACUACAAAUAAUGCCACUUACACAAGUUCUCUUCUUUCUAUAUUAUUCCAUUGUUAAUAACAAGUGCAAUUCCAAAUUAGUGUUUUACAUGCAUCCAAUCCACCCACUGAGACUUUCAUUUUUUUUUUCUAUGUUUUCAACCUCUUCAACAAUCCAUCUACUUCAUCUCUGCAUGAUUUUCUUUUGCUCCAGUUUCUUCCAACCUGAGGGAUUUAUCGGCUCUGACUGCAUUCUGAAUACCACUAAUCAACAUCAUGUGCAAAAAAAUAUAAAACUAAACAAAGCUUUUCAUUAUUUGUUCAUUAUUACUUUAAUUACCAUAAGUUAAUCUCAUUGUAUUUUUCAUUGCUACAGUACGGUCCAUUAUAUGCCGCUUGCAACAAAUAACAUGUUCAACAUGUACAUUUGUUUUGUCCCUCACAUAUUACUUGGUUCUACAUAUUGUUAUUCCAUCUUACUAUUUUAUUGCUAUAUGCACCAACAUUUUCUUGUUUUCUUGGACAAUUAAUUGCAACAUUAACAGUUCCUGUCUAAUGACCAGCACUCCCGGUUUCCUUCAACUACCACAUGGCCACUUCACACCUGCAUGAUCUUGAUACUUUUCAUCUAACAGCCACUUUGCUAGAUGACAAAACAAUGUGUACGGUACCGAAGGGGCACGGUAGACAGAGCUUGAUUAGAAAUCCUUUUUUUCUUAUUUUCGGACAUUAAGCAUAUUUGUUUAAUGGUGUGUUUAUAUUCCGGAUUGAAAAAUUAAAAAUUUUAAAAUUAAAAUUAUUGACUAUAGUUACUUCACAAAAUGAAGAUAAGAAUGAGAAUCAUUUGAGUAAGACUCACAACAAAAUGGGAUUGGGGAAUUUCCAUUUGUGGGACCAACAUUUUUAAAUUUAAUUUUAUCUUUAAUUCAAAACACAAAAAAAAAACCACAAAAGUCAAAGCCAACAGCCAUUAUUGAUCAGAUUUAGCAGCCAUGAUCGACCCACGCCGAUCACCAAAUGCAGCAAAGCCAGUUGUUGCGCACACUGAUCGUUAGCCUCUUGUUAUUCGUCGCAACGAUGUUCGGACAAUGGUAGAAACAAGCACGAGUGCUGUAUAUAACCCGCAACUUUCAAUAACAAGAGCUUGUCGUCGGUUGUCCAGCCACCACUCACGGCUUAGUUAAAAUUGUUAUUUUUGUUUUUUUUAAUCAUUAUGUUAAUUUUUGUCAUUAUUAUUAUUAUUAUUAUUAUUAUUAUUAUUAUUAUUAUUAUUUUAUCAUCAUCAUUAUUAUUAUUGUUCUUUUUUUUUAUUCUCAUGGUUGUUAUUAUUAUUAUUAUUAUUAUUAUUAUUAUUAUUAUUAUUAUAUUAACAACUAAGGGUCUUCUAAUAAUUUGUAACAAUUCAUUCUAAUAUCAAAACACUGUAAACACAUCAAUACAAAAACUAUGCAUUUCUAUUUUUGCAGCUCAAAUAAAUAAUUUAUUUUUUUAUUUAUACAAUUUAAAUAAACAACUUAUUUUAAUUUUCAUUUUUUCUUCUUAUCCCAAUUUAUUCUUAUUCCAAUAGAUUCCGAGUGUGUAAGUUGAUUGAAAAUUAUACUUUGUGGAUAAAUACAUCGAUAAAAUUAUAUUUACGAAUUAAUAUACUUAUCUUAUAUAAUUUUAGGUGACGAACUUAUGUGGUAUGAAAUGAUCGGUUGGCUACAAGUAUCGACGGCUUUCACUUUUUAGUGAAUCCCUUCAUGGCACGUAAAGUGGGACAAGGGUUCUGAAUUUAUUGGGGCAGAAACACGAAAAGACUUGUAAAGAUUGUAAUAUAUAAGUGUUGUGAGGUAGAUGGAUUCUUUAACCAAAAGAAUGCUUGCGGAUUAAACAUCACUGUUUGCAGUUGCCAAAUUUAUCAUCCUCUACCUACGAACUACAGUUUAUGAUAGUGAUACGUAGCUACAGUUUAUCCUCUCUAUCUCUAUCGCAUUAACUUGAUUUAAAGAAUGUAAUACGAAAGUUGUAAUGUAACAUUUAUAUAGCAUUGACUCGUAUCAAUAUCCUCUUAAGGGAAGAAAAAAUAUUAAUAAACAAACAAACAAACAAACUUGUAUCAGUAACCUUUCAUUUCAAUCUCAGUGUUGGAUUCUAGCAUAUGACUAGUAGUUGGCACAAAUAAUUGUCAUUAAACUAAUAACAACGUUUCUAAUUAUAUAUUAUCAUCAAAGAUUCAAGCAAAGAGUGCAUGAGAGUACAAGGUAAUUAUAGCUAAUGGUGGAUACAAAUAUAUAGCUGUCAUUAAACUAAAUGUCGGUAUUUAUCAAAUUAAAUUAUAGCUACCUUAGUACUAAAUAUGAGCUUAAUUAGAUGAGAUGAGAUUUGAUGUGCCUUAAAAAGCUUUGCCCUCGAGCAAUGCCCCUCUAUAGUAUACCAAAGGUUCUACAUCACGAUCUAACGUGUAAUCAUCGGGAUCAAGCUACGGUGCAAUUGUGGCACCGUGCCACAGUUGCAUCUAGCCGUUGGAUGCAGUUGGAUUAGUGGGGUCUAUUGGCAUCCAACAGCUAGAUGCAACUGUGACACGGUACCACAGUUACACAUAAGAUUUUCCCCCAUCAUCGACUAAUAAUAUUAAGACACAUGGUAAUAAAAAUUUAAAAAAAAAUUAGAAUAAACAAUACAUAUUCCCCUCUUUUUAUUAUCCCUAUAAAAUUUUCAAAGUAGGAGACAAAACGUUAAAAUUGUCUCUCUCUCACUUAAUUAACUCUAUCUUAUUCUUUUUUUCUCUCUCACUCAAACCUUUCAUCUAUCAUCUUUUUUAAAAAGAUAUCGACUCUUUGACUGAUUAUGCAUAAUAUGUGAAUGAUUUUAGUAAUAUAGGUCCAGAAUUAAUUCUUUGUAAUUAUAGGAAGAGUUUUAACGGAUUUGCCAUGAAGCUAACAAAAGAGAAAGCUCAAAUAAUGGCUGUCGGUGGGGGGUGAACAUAACUUUUUUUUUUUUUGGGUGAAUUGUUUAAUUAAUUUAAUACCAAUUUUAAUUUGCCAUAAGAAUGAAAUAAAAGGGAAGUAAUACAACUUUUUGGUCAUUAUUUGAAGCUAUAUUAUCCUUGCUGUUGAUUUGGCUUCAAAACGAGCUGAAACUCUUAAAUGGUAUUUUUCCUUUGAUGAGUAGAUAGGCAAAGCAGCCAAUCUAUUUUAAUUAUUUAAAGCAAUGGGAGGCAUAGGAUCUGUGCGUAUUUCCAAAUCGAAGCUUCAUACUGCAACAUAAUGGAAUUUCAUGAGGUUUCCCCGCAAGUAGAAAGAGCAACAACAGUGGAAAGUGAUGAAGUGAUUGGAAUAUUUAACACUGGAAUUUGAGAAAGUUUUAAUUAAAAUGACAGCACUCAUGUUUCAAAAAUCAUCUUCUCUUCACCAUCAACAGAAAUCUUCUCCUUCGUAAUAACAAAAAUUAACUAUAAUCAUUUUCAUCAAUUUUUUUUUUAAUUCUUCAUCACGUUUCAAAAAUGGCAGCCGGUGGAACAAAGAUGAAAGAUGAAAUUUAGGUGAGAGAGAGAGAGAGAAUAAGACAGAGUUAAUUAAGGCUGAGAGACAAAAAUUUAAUGCUUCGUCUGUUAAAAUUUUUGGUGGGAUAAACAAAAGUGGAUCAUAUGUAAUUUUGGACCAGUCUAUGGUACAGAUUCUGGCUAAACUCCCAUAUUUAGAUAUUAUAGUGGCCAAAACUACAUUGCGUCGGAGGUUUGGUGCCCCACUCGUUUGUCUGUUAGUAAGGUCAGCGUUAGAUUUGAUCUGAUGGCUGCAGAAGAGACACAAAUAUAAAAGAGUAACUUGAGGCAAAGGUAACAAGCCGGUCACCUACAAAAAAUAAGUGUAUGAUAAAAUAACACAUGCAAUGAAUUUUGUUUUGUUUUUUUUUUCUAGAAGACACGUGUAAUGAACUUGUUGGAAGCAUAUAUGCAAGUAAUGGUUGGAAACAACUUGCUGGAACCGUGCAAGUAUUGGUUGGGCUAAGACUGACAUGAAAUUUCCCAAAUAUUGUUCGAAACAUUUGCAAAUAAUUAGUUCAAAGCAUCAAUAAAUGAUUAAAUGCUGGAAAAAAAUACAUAUUUUUUAUUUUAUUAUUAAGAAUACAUUUUUUUGAUAAAAAGAUAAAUUAUUAAUAGUACAUAUUAGUAACAAAUAUACCGAAAAAAAUUAUCCAUAUAUUUGAAAAAAAUUUGUGAACAACACAUUUUUUAGAAGUACACAUUAUACCAUAAAAAAUUGAGUUGUAUCAUGGACAGCCAUAAAAUAUGAACAAAGAUUACGAUCUAAACUCCACAUGCAUGUUUAAUUUGUAGAUUCCAUUUUUUCAGAAUGUGUUUCCCACCAUGGGGAUAACCAGGGUUAUUUAGGCAAAACACUACUGUAAUUUAUUAUCAUAGACAGGAAAAAGACAAUGGCAGAGAUCAAUGAUUUAACACACAAGAAUGAGUGAAUGACAACAGCAAGUGAGAACCAUGCACAAUCCUUUUUAAUAGAGAUCCUUUCUUAAAUCUUAAAUAAGAACAUUAAAUAAGCUUGAAAAAUAUUGGUAAUUGACCCAAUACACAUCCAUCUAACGGAAAACAGCGGACAAUUUGAUGCAUGUGUGGAGCACUUGAGGAAACAAAGCAUCCGCAGAAUGCCUAAAUUUGAAAAAAAAAAUUGCAUUUGCCGAAAGAACUUGGAGCGUUCAAAUACAAAGUGUCAAUUAAUUAAGGGCAUCCAUGUAGUUGUCUGUUUCACUUUCUACUUCAUCAAGCUGGUCUCCAUUGGAUAUAGAUUUUUUAAUGUCUUCAUCAGCAGGAAAGAUAUCCAUUUGAUCAACAUUUUCAAGGAUGGCAGUUCCUCUUUCCUGAGUAUCUGAGUCAAAAUUAGCUUAAAGCACCUCCUGAUACUCUCUAUCAAGCAAGAUAUCCCUUUGGUCAACACUUCUAAGGUAGGCAGUUCCUCUGUUCUGUGUAUCUGUGUCAAAACUUGCUGAAAGCAUCUCCAGAGGCUCGCCAUCAAGCAUGAUACCUUACAAGAUACAUCAACCAUCAAAUAUGCUCAACAUGCAAUACCAAAUUAAAUUACCCAUCUCCAGGGUUGGAUUUGUCUUCAAUCAGAUGAAUACUGGAGAGAAUAUAAUUGAAAGAAUGGCAUCAUCUACCAUGCAAGGUAAGGCUCCUUACAGGUGCUCAACAUGACACCACAAAAGAAAAUACAAUAUCAAAGACACAUCACCAACAUAUAUGCAAACAACCAAUUCUCACAGCAUGCAGUGCAACAACUCACAAAAUAUGAAAUUUAACAUCAUCUAAGCAUUUUCUCAAGCUUAUUUCUCAUUAAAGAACGUAACUGAAAGUAGUAAACAUAGAGACAUAUAACAGUUUUAUAAGUACAGACCACAAAGCAGAACUUUGUUCGAAUGAUAAUGAUCAUAAUCCACAUUAUAAACGCAGUGAAGUCAUCAAAUGAAAAUAAGAACACAGUACACAAUUACACAAAUAUUAGGCUUAAUUAAUUAUUUAGAAUAAAACACCACCUCACGCAGCUUCCUUAGCUGGAAUCUUCUCAUAUCCCAUCUUCUUAGGGCUCAGAUCAUCAACAUCAUUGAAUUCCUCAUACGAAUUGCGAGAAUCGUGAUGAUUAGCAAAGAGGCUCCACACCAAAUACAUGGUAACUGCAGUAAGCGAACCGCACCCAACGCCGAAAAGCAAAGUGACUGGUCCAGUCGCAUAGAGAGGAGUAGUCGUGCUCGAAGGGCAAAACGCGGCAUUUUGGCUCGUGGAUGAGGUGCUGGUCCCGAUCGUCGAUUGAAGGGAGAAUCGGACAGUCGAGGAAGAUUAAGGGACGGUGGGGGCUGAAUCAGCGAAUUUCGGUGAAGAUUGUGACGAAUCCAGCGAGGUUCUCGGAAUUAGGGUUAGGGUUAUGGGGAUUGCAAUGGAUCGAGUAAGAGGAAAUGAAGAGGGUUUUGCAUGGCCUUCCGGAGGCUGAAAUUGAGAGGACACCAUGAAUAUUGUGAGAGCUAAGAGGAGACGCUGAGUCGAUGAUGCCAUUGAUUCGUACCACACAACUUCGAUUGGAAAUGGAGCCUCUAAUAGCUUUAGCCGGUUACCCAUUUUUCAAGUGCUAAAUCUCAGCCAUUGACUGCCUUUCUUUACGAUCUAAAGGGUCAUUCGCAAAAGGACAAACGACUGGGGUACCAAACCCCUGAUGCAAUGUAGCUGGAUCCUAUUAUAGUCAAUGAUUUCAGUUUUUACGUUAAAUUAUAGGUUAGGAUUAUAUUGGAGUUGUUUUAAAAUAAAAUAUGAAUUAUAAUUAUACACAUAAAAUAAUAAAUAAUAAAAAAUUUAUUAUAAUUUUAAUUAUUUAAUAAUAAAAUAAUACUCUACCUUAAAAUGAUUUUAACAUAAUAAAUUCUAAAUUAUAAUACGAUACUUUUAAUGUACCGUAAAAUUUCUCCAUUUAAGGUCAUGUUGCAGCAGGCCAAGCAUCAACCCAACUCUUCAAUUUUUUAUUUAUGAAAAGUACUAAAACCAAUUUAAUAUGUCAAAAUAUCGCUAUGACUUUUCAUUGGUAUUAAUGCCAAAAUUAAUGCUAUUGAUAGUAGACUCAGAAAUCAAAGUCUUCCCAAACUUGCUUUUCGUAAUUAAAGAGCCACAGCGAGUCCAGGCCAUGGAGUUUUUCGUUAUUAGUCAUGGCGAGUUUUACAAUCAAUAAUUUUUAAUGCUCGGAACUACCUCUAAAUUUUUAUUAAAAAAAAAAAGAGAGAGAGAAAAGGAUUUAGUACUAAAACCUUUUAUAAGACUGUAAUCGCUAAUUGUUAAUUUUUUUAUAAAAAUAAAUAUAUUUAAUUAAAUAUUAAUUAUAUACCGCUAUAAAUGCACAUGUUGCACGAGAUAUAUGUUAAAAAAUUUAACGAUCCGACUUAAGUUCAAUAUUUAAAAGCUAAAUAAUUCAAUUAUUUCAUGGACAAUUAGACGUGUGAGAGCAUUAAUGAUGAGCGUCCUGACUUUAGCUCUCGGCCAAACGUUUUAUCAUGAAUCAUGAUUUUCUUCUAAUUUAAUUUUUAUUUGAGUAAAUUUUAUUAAUAUAAUUAAUGUUUAAUAAAUUAAAAAUAAUAAUUAAAUUCUAAUCAUUCACUAUCACUCAAAUACAAGUGGCACAAGAUUUAUAAAAAAUUAUAAGUACUCAUAUUAAGAAAAAAUCCUGAUCUUUUGUUACGAUGCUCAUAGUGUACAACGGUACAUUGCAUCAUUUAUAUAUUUAAAAUUUUUGCGGUAUAAUUGUGACCGUACUAGCUGAAGCGCCACUUCAGCUGAACCUUAGUUUCACGUAACUCCAUCAUUUGAAAUCAAUAGCAAACUUAGGGAAACAGUUUGUUUAAUCUCUAAAUUUUAAAUUAACUGUUGGUUUAAUUUUUAUAUUUUAAAAAUAUCUUAAAAUAUAAAUAUUAUUGAUUAUAUUAUAUUUUUAUCCUUACUUUUUCUUUACUUUUAAUAAUAAUAUUCUUACAAUAAUUUUUUUUACAAAUACCAAAUUAACUUUAAAAGUAAAGUAAUCGUAAGAAAUUUUUACAUUAAUUUUUAUCUUCUUUUCUAUUUAAUUUGAUUAAUUAAUAUAUUUUUCUCUUUAUUAAUACCCCAAGAUUAUUGCCAAGAUAUUUUUGUAAAAUAUAUAUUAAAAAAAAGGCACAAUUCCAAUCUGUGGGCUGUGGCAAUGAGGCUGCCAAAGUGCCAAGUCUCAAAUUUUGGUGCUGUACAUGUCGUCGGUUUUUGUUGGGUGUUAUAACAAAGCGGCAUUAAACUCCUUUUCCACGUAGUCAUCAAUUCAUUCAAUUCAUUUUCUGGUCAAACUUCAAAAAUAAUUUAGCCCCCCUGGUCCAUAUUUGCAUAGUAAUAUAUAUUAAAAAAAAUUAUGUUUGUUUACUCCUAAGAAAAUUAUUGGAAUCAUUUAAAUCAUUUACAUUAUAGUGCAGUCUAAAUUUUUAUAUUCUCGAUGGAUAAUUUUUUUCUGAAUUAUGUUUGUAAGGUGAUGAUACUACGAUUUAUAACCUAUCUUAGGACUCAAUUGGAGGGAAGUAAGCUGGUUUUGGUGGCAGUAAUGAUAUAUACUUGCAAAACUGGGUCAAGAACUAGCCAAAUUAGUUGUCCACAGGUCAAUGUCUCAGUCAUCACAAUCCCAUUUUUGGCAAACUAAUUAACACUGCAGUGACUUGUCCCAAUGUAUAGUGGUUACAUGUCAUAAUCUGAAUUAAAUUUUCGUUGUUCAAUCACAAUCAUCAAUUUUGUCUUUGCUUUAAUUAAAAAUUUAAACAGUAGAAAAUGAUUUUUUUUCCAUAUCAAUUUUUCGGUAAUCAAUCUAAUAGCGGAACCAAACCAUGCGGUGGGCUCGAAUAUUUAAACCAAAAAAUAAAUGACGAGACACAAGAUUCGGUUAAAGUGGAAGAUUAAAUUCACUCUAGCCCAAUCAAUAAUUACAAAUAUCAACUUGCAUGCCUCUAAAUUAAUUAUUGUAAGCCUCAACUACAUCGCAUACUACUAUAGUCUCAGCUUCCAUGGUAUGGAAUCAAGUAACGAAGGCAGCUUAUCUUUUGAGGAGUUAGUCAUUUAUAUGAGCAAGAGAUAAAAUGGUAUUUUUUCGUAUUUGUUGAGAAUCACCGCACAUAUCUGAUGUAAAACUAUAUUUACUGCAAGAAGAUAUAUGAGAUCUCUUGUGCGGCCUAUUAAAAGUGCUCGAAAGACUCUAUGAUAUUAUUAAAAUGUCUCACUAACCCACGUAAGAUAUCUACGAACACAAAAUCUUACCUGAUUGCUUGUGUAUCCUUAUGUAGGCUCACUUCAUUUUCCUUUCCAUUAAUUUGUCUCUCUUUUCGUUCAUUUGAGUUUGGUUUGUAAUAACACAAAUUUAUUUUGAUGAAAUUUGUUACUCAUAAUGAAUUUUCAUUGAGUUUAUUGAUAAUUAAUUUCAUGAUGUAGAAAAGAGGAGGAGAAUUUGAAAGAGGGGUUAGAGAAAAAAAUACAAAACAAAAAUGAUUGUUUAAUUAAUUCUAAAAGUUUACUAUUUUUUAUAUGUUAAAUAUAAGAGUUAAAGAGUUUUUUUUUCCUUUUUUUUGUAACACACUUAUAUUACAACAUGUCGGGGCAAAAAUAAACUAUUAUUGACCAUGAAUUAUGGCCAACAUUCCAUUUUAAUGGUGAAUUGGGAGGCCCAUUACUUCAAUUGAGAUUAAAAAAAAAAUCAUUGUAUAAACCAAUGCUUCCAUAAAUUCGAUCAUGGUUUUCAAUUAUAGUUUCCAUACCUGUUUAUUUGGGAUCAUCCCCGAAUUAAAGAAAAAACAAUCAAAAACGCGGCAAUUUAAAUUUAGAUUUCUCCAAUACCUUAUACCUUAUUUAAAAUAAAAAACACAAAUCGAAAAUAGAAAUAAAAGCGAGAAACUAAAAUAGCAUAGCAAUGCUGUAUCAGACUACUUGUCUUCUUGUAGUUGGAUCAAGUAACAAUUUGGGGGUGUAAAGUAGACUUAAAAUAACUUUGGGAAGGUUUAAAAAUAUUCAAUAACUUAUGUGGAUGAGCAAAAUUAACAAAAAGCCAAAUUCUGAAGUUUUCCCAAAACUGAAAACAGGAUGCGGGUUAUUAAAAAAAAUUCUAACCAAACCCACUAGAAACUAACCAAAAAUUAAACUAACAAAUAAGAUCAUUCAGGAGGCAUCUUUCCCCUUCUGAAAAUCUAGAAUUAACAUUGCUUGUGCAUCUUAUCAACAAUUUCUUGUACGGGUAAACAUUUAACAGCGCAGUUAGCAGCACCGUGGCACUCAGCAAUUGGUCCAUAGACCACAGAACUAAUGGUCUCUGGAAACUGCAAAACCCCAUGACAAAAGGCAUCAUUAAUGUAUAAAAAAAUGGGUAGAUAUGAAAAUUAUUGGUUAGCGGUAAAAGGACGCUUACCUGUACCCGUCUUUGGGGGCAAUCCAAAAUUGUGGCCUUUGCAUGCGGCACGUGUGCUCAUAAAUUAGAAGUGGAAAGCAAAAGCAGUGUUUCCAUAAGGUGAAAAAAAAAAAUUAAUGGAAGUGCUUGUAUACUAGAGACCCCAGUCUAUUUAUGGUAAAGAAGCAGACUCAAUAUAACAGACACCCAGCUGUUUCAUUUGGACUCCAAACAGAACCAAGUACAUUGCAGUUCAGCCGCCCUCUCUCAUAUCCAUUUUCCAAAAAAGGAACCAAUUAAGUACAGUAAAUUAAAUUAAAAAAAAAAUAUGGGGAGAAAUUGCCAUCCUUUGUUGAGUGGGAGGAGAAGCAAAGCGGAGAAACACAAUCAUGGCCUCAGUUCAGCUGAGUUGCUCUCAUUGGCUAGCGUAUGCGAGGUCUUUUUACCCACUUUGUCUUCUGUUUCUUCGGAGGGCAAAGAGGAUCGUCCUAGCCAGGCCCUGGAAUCUUUUUACAAGGCUUCUGGGGCACAGGCCCCAGUUCCUGAUAAGGUAAUUAAAUAUUGAACUUAAAAGAUUAGUUCGUUUUUAUUUUUUUAUUUUUAUCAUUUAGAAUAACGAGUCAAUGCUCGUUAAUCUGAAAUUGAUCAUAAACAUAGUAAUCCAAUAUCCAACUUAAAGAUUAGCUCUUUUUUUAAAAAAAAAAAUUAUUCCGAAUAACGAGUGAUUGCGCGUUAACCUGAAAUUGAUCAUUAACAUGCAUUGGUUUGUUUGACUGGCAGGUGGCGGAGAUUGUGGUGAAGAGGCUACUGACUGAAGGUGUGAUAUUGAUCAGAGUGGUGUUGCUGAUGCUGUCCACAAAGCUGGGGACGUUGAUGCUUUGUGGGUCUCUUUGUUUAAGUGAGAAAUGGCCUUAUAUUAACAACUUUUCAAGCAUGUCAUUGGAGAAGAGGGAAAAGGUUUUGCAGAAAUGGUUCAAGAACUGGAUUUUUACUCCUGUUAGAAUUGCAUUUUUUAUCCUCAAAAUUUUUUGCCUCUUCGUUUUCUUCUCUCAGGUAAUUCCUUUCACUUGGAAAAUUUCUUUGCAUUUUUUUGUUAUUUUUGACAUAUACAUCUACAUGAGUACUUUAAAAAAAAAAAAAAAAAAAAAAAAAAACUUGUUGCAAUUCUACAGAACCAUUUCAAUAUGAAAUUUGUGAGAUUUUAGAUACAUAUGCUUGCAGUUUAGCUUAGAUGUCAACCGAGCAUUGACUUAAAAAUCUAUUAUCACAAAUAAUUUGAGAGAAAUAUAUUUUUAAUCCAUAUUUAUAAUAAGGUGAUCUUUAAGUUAUAUUUAAUAUAACUUACAAUCACUAAAAUAAUACAAAAAUAAGUAAUAAGCAAGUGGGUCAAGUGGGGCUAAUUUUAUAUUAAGGCAAACCCUAUCUUACAUGCAUGUAAGAUACAUCCCCCUCACAUGAAUAGUACAUGUGUGGGACUCACACAUGUACUAUUCAUGUGAGAGGAAUGUAUCUUACAUGCAUGUAAGAUAGAAGGACCCUUAUAUUAAUUGUAACUUAAGGAGAGCCUUAUAAUAAAGGAAAUGAGAAGAACACGAGCAAUCAAUAAAUGAAUUAGGUCUUAUAAUUAGAAUCUUGACAUUAUGAGUGCGUUUGAAAUUGAGAUUGGGCAGUUGUGUCUUAAAAGUUAUCGUACUAAAACGUUUGAUAAACACUAACUGAUGUACCUUACAGCUAUGUUGAGAUGAUUUUAACUUAUAUGAUGAAAAAUCUAUUAUAUCUUUAAUAAUUUUAUCAAAAUUAUUAUUUAAAAUUUAUAUUUACUACAUAUUAUUAAUUUUUAUUUCGUCGUUGCAGUUUUUUUCUACAGCAUUUGUAGCUUAAAAGUUAUAGAUUCAGCUACAGCACCUCAAUCUCAAACAGAACCUAUAAACCAUAAUUUAAUAUUUAAUUGCUGCGCUAUAGUGUCAGAUUCACAUUUUCUAAAAAAAUGUGGUAUAUAUUAUAAAUUUUAAAAAUAUGUAUAAUUUUUGUGAUUAAUAUGUUUCAUUUAUUUUCUUGCCUAGGAAAGUGCCGUUUAGUAUUUUACAUAGUUUAAUAUUUAAUUGCUGCUCUAUAGUGUUAGAUUCAUAUUUUUCUAAAAAAAUGUGGUAUAUAUUGUAAAUUUAAAAAAUAUGUAAAAUUUUUGUCAUUAAUAUGUUUCAUUUAUUUUCCUGCCUAGGAAAGUGCCGUUUAAUAUUUUACAUAUGAAAUAUUGAAAAUUAUAACAUUACUAUACCCACAAAUUAUUAUUCUAAAAUUUAACUUCAAACAUGCCGCAUCCGGACGAAAGGACAUAUUAUUUAGGAGUGAGUUUUGGAUUUUUUUUAUGAACUGUCGUAAAUUGUUAGCUUUAGCAAAUGUUUUUGAAAAUAAAUGGGUAGGUUAAAGACUUGAGAAUAUAAAAAAUGGCAAGUAAUAAAUAUGAUUUUAUCAUUUAAAAAAUUUCAAUAAAUUUAUAAAUCAACAAUUUUUUCGUAUUUAUUAUAAAGAUCACUUUCAUAAUUCAACACAGUCCAAAUUAAGGGAAAAAUUAAACAGCCAGCCAUAACUUAGAAAUUUCCAAUCUCUUUGAUUCUGAGUUUUGAGUACUAUUUUAGGAUUCCUGAAAAAAUGGAAAAAUCAUUUUUAAUAAAAGAAUUCAUCCACGACCAAAAAGACUCUAUCAUGGUUCAUUGGUCACAUAUUAAUCACACGCAUUAAAGCAGUUGUUGUAGAUUGGAUAAAAAAAUUUGUGCCGACAAGCAAAUAUAUAUAUAUAAAAAAGGAAAACAGAGAACAUAUUGAAGGAUAAAACAUCGUUAUCAUUUUUAAUUAGGUAGUUGAAUUAAUUUAUAUGUAGGAACCUUAAAUGAAUACUCAAACAAAUGAAUUGGAUAGAUACUAUCUUUGUCAUUGAAAUGGAAUGAACAGAUAGAGAGAAAUAAUAAAUUUACAACAUUUAAGGGUGAGGGGUGUCGGAAUCCCACAUAGCUUGAUUAGAACUCAAGAAUUUCGUUUAAGGACUUUUGAGUGGACUCAAAACAAAAGCUAUCUAAUUAAGAUAAUAUAUGUUACACCUAAAAGCAGCCUAUUAUUACAAGAAGCUAUGAUGUUGAAAAAUUAAUAUUGUUUUGGUGCUUGCUUUGACCAAAAGAUUUGGGAUUAUAGAUUUUUUCUUUUAAUUCAAUUACAAUAGUUUUUGGGUACAAAAGUCAAGAAUUAAGGUAGAGAAAGAGAAAGAUCUUUAUUUGAUUUAUAUUUAUGAGAGGUGAUCAAGUGCGCACAAUCGCGCUCUAUAUCAAGUUCCUUUAUAUUUAUUUCUUUGGUACAAUUUAAUUAGAGAGGCAAGAAGCUAAGCGAGUCAUAAAAGAAGCUUACUCUUAAUACAUGACAUACCAAGCAAUAAGAACACAACCGGUAUACAACUUAAAGUACAUUUGCAAUUCACAAAUUCGCCGUUCCUUCUGCAGCUUGAUGAAAAUGGAAAAAAUCCAGCAUGGGAAGCGAUUGAUUAUCAUGCAGAAAAUGAUGAGGAUGUGUCCGAGGUUCAACAGGAGAGGCCUCUAGAGAAGGGAAUAGUUGAAACAAUGUAUGAAACCGGCUCAACCAUUGUACAGUCACUCACUCAGAAAGGCCUCCAAGUUACGAAAGAUUCUAAACAGAAUGUGUACAAAAUCAAAUGUGAUGUUGUAAUUGUUGGCUCUGGUUGUGGAGGUGGUGUUGCAGCAGCUGUUCUGGCUAGUGCUGGGCAGAAGGUUGUUGUAAUUGAGAAAGGGAACUACUUCACUCCUAAGGAUUAUUCUCUCCUUGAAGGUCCUUCAUUUGAGCAACUAUAUGAAUCCGGAGGGAUCCUUCCAACUACUGAUGCGAGCAUGACGAUUCUGGCAGGAUCAACUGUUGGUGGCGGCUCAGCUGUCAACUGGUCGGCCUGCAUCAAGACACCCAAGUCCUUGCUUCAGGAAUGGGCAGGGCAAUAUAAGCUCCCACUCUUUGGUAGCCCUGACUAUCUUUCGGCAAUGGAUAUCGUGUGGGAGAGGAUUGGUGUUACGGAGAAUUGUGUACAAGAGGGGUUCCAGAAUCAAGUACUUCGAAAAGGAUGUAAAAAUCUUGGCCUUGAUGUUGAAAGGAUACCGAGAAAUUCCUCAGAGAAUCAUUACUGUGGAUCUUGCGGUCAUGGCUGUAAAAGCGGAGACAAAAAGGGGACUGAUAGUACCUGGCUUGUUGAUGCCGUAAACCAUGGAGCAGUCAUUUUAACGGGAUGCAAAGCCGAGAGAUUCAUAUUGGAGAAGAGCGAUAAUGGAAGCACAAGGACAAUGAAAUGCUUGGGAGUGAUAGC
Molecule: long non-coding RNA, 16128 nt
Filed under: Citrus maxima (pomelo)
Lineage: Eukaryota; Viridiplantae; Streptophyta; Magnoliopsida; Sapindales; Rutaceae
Description: long non-coding RNA (CMAX_LNC003672)
Source: RNAcentral